CCUACGGGAGGCAGCAGUGAGGAAUAUUGGUCAAUGGACGCAAGUCUGAACCAGCCAUGCCGCGUGCAGGAAGACGGCUCUAUGAGUUGUAAACUGCUUUUGUACGAGGGUAAACGCAGAUACGCGUAUCUGUCUGAAAGUAUCGUACGAAUAAGGAUCGGCUAACUCCGGGCCAGCAGCCGCGGUAAUACGGAGGAUUCAAGCGUUAUCCGGAUUUAUUGGGUUUAAAGGGUGCGUAGGCGGUCGGAUAAGUUAGAGGUGAAAUCCCGGGGCUCAACUUCGGAAUUGCCUCGGAUACUGUUCGGCUAGAGAGUAGGUGCGGUAGGCGGAAUGUAUGGUGUAGCGGUGAAAUGCUUAGAGAUCAUACAGAACACCGAUUGCGAAGGCAGCUUACUAAGCUACUUCUGACGUUGAGGCACGAAAGCGUGGGGAGCAAACAGGAUUAGAUACCCGAGUAGUC
Molecule: ribosomal RNA, 460 nt
Filed under: uncultured bacterium
Lineage: Bacteria
Description: partial 16S ribosomal RNA
Rfam family: Bacterial small subunit ribosomal RNA
Source: RNAcentral